CCAACAACACCUUGGUGCGGUCUGUUAAACUCUGUUACGCGAAACCAUAAGUUGUCUCGAUCGUGACACACUGUGUGCAUGGUAUUUGCCCGCGCCUUGGCCUUGUUAAUUUCUUGAACUACCUUACUGCACCAUACAUGGCCUCCCUGCAUCUGGCCUGCAUAACUUGCUGCUCGCUUUGGAAAUAGCGCUGCCAAAUGAAAAUAUGUCUCUCGCACAACCGAUGUUAUCGGUAGAUGACGCGUUCCUUUAAGAACAUAAUUUAUGCAUUUAGCCAGGUUUGACGUCAUAUGGCCAUAUCGUAGCCGCCGUUGUAUGCUUGUGCCCACUGUUCGAAACGUAUGUUACAAAGGUAGUCCGCCCCUUCUCCGUUAAUUGAACGUAAAAUUGCCAAUAUUUCGUGAAAA
Molecule: long non-coding RNA, 407 nt
Filed under: Gossypium raimondii (Peruvian cotton)
Lineage: Eukaryota; Viridiplantae; Streptophyta; Magnoliopsida; Malvales; Malvaceae
Description: long non-coding RNA (GRAI_LNC008584)
Source: RNAcentral